Molecule: transfer RNA, 86 nt
Filed under: bacterium
Lineage: Bacteria
Also listed under: 1 other name
Description: tRNA-Tyr
Rfam family: tRNA
About the family: Transfer RNA (tRNA) molecules are approximately 80 nucleotides in length. Their secondary structure includes four short double-helical elements and three loops (D, anti-codon, and T loops). Further hydrogen bonds mediate the characteristic L-shaped molecular structure. tRNAs have two regions of fundamental functional importance: the anti-codon, which is responsible for specific mRNA codon recognition, and the 3' end, to which the tRNAs corresponding amino acid is attached (by aminoacyl-tRNA synthetases). tRNAs cope with the degeneracy of the genetic code in two manners: having more than one tRNA (with a specific anti-codon) for a particular amino acid; and 'wobble' base-pairing, i.e. permitting non-standard base-pairing at the 3rd anti-codon position.
Source: RNAcentral
UGUGGGAUACUCAAGCGGUCAACGAGGGCAGACUGUAAAUCUGCUGGUUUACGCCUUCGGUGGUUCGAAUCCACCUCCCACAACCA